GACGAACGCUUGCGGCGUGCUUAACACAUGCAAGUCGAACGGAAAGGCCCUGCUUUUGUGGGGUGCUCGAGUGGCGAACGGGUGAGUAACACGUGAGUAACCUGCCCUUGACUUUGGGAUAACUUCAGGAAACUGGGGCUAAUACCGGAUAGGAGCUCCUGCUGCAUGGUGGGGGUUGGAAAGUUUCGGCGGUUGGGGAUGGACUCGCGGCUUAUCAGCUUGUUGGUGGGGUAGUGGCUUACCAAGGCUUUGACGGGUAGCCGGCCUGAGAGGGUGACCGGCCACAUUGGGACUGAGAUACGGCCCAGACUCCUACGGGAGGCAGCAGUGGGGAAUAUUGCACAAUGGGCGGAAGCCUGAUGCAGCAACGCCGCGUGCGGGAUGACGGCCUUCGGGUUGUAAACCGCUUUCGCCUGUGACGAAGCGUGAGUGACGGUAAUGGGUAAAGAAGCACCGGCUAACUACGUGCCAGCAGCCGCGGUGAUACGUAGGGUGCGAGCGUUGUCCGGAUUUAUUGGGCGUAAAGGGCUCGUAGGUGGUUGAUCGCGUCGGAAGUGUAAUCUUGGGGCUUAACCCUGAGCGUGCUUUCGAUACGGGUUGACUUGAGGAAGGUAGGGGAGAAUGGAAUUCCUGGUGGAGCGGUGGAAUGCGCAGAUAUCAGGAGGACCACCAGUGGCGAAGGCGGUUCUCUGGGCCUUUCCUGACGCUGAGGAGCGAAAGCGUGGGGAGCGAACAGGCUUAGAUACCCUGGUAGUCCACGCUGUAAACGGUGGGUACUAGGUGUGGGGUCCAUUCCACGGGUUCCGUGCCGUAGCUAACGCUUUAAGUACCCCGCCUGGGGAGUACGGCCGCAAGGCUAAAACUCAAAGGAAUUGACGGGGCCCCGCACAAGCGGCGGAGCAUGCGGAUUAAUUCGAUGCAACGCGUAGAACCUUACCUGGGUUUGACAUGGAUCGGGAGUGCUCAGAGAUGGGUGUGCCUCUUUUGGGGUCGGUUCACAGGUGGUGCAUGCCUGUCGUCAGCUCGUGUCGUGAGAUGUUGGGUUAAGUCCCGCAACGAGCGCAACCCUUGUUCACUGUUGCCAGCACGUUAUGGUGGGGACUCAGUGGAGACCGCCGGGGUCAACUCGGAGGAAGGUGGGGAUGACGUCAAGUCAUCAUGCCCCUUAUGUCCAGGGCUUCACGCAUGCUACAAUGGCUGGUACAGAGAGUGGCGAGCCUGUGAGGGUGAGCGAAUCUCGGAAAGCCGGUCUCAGUUCGGAUCGGGGUCUGCAACUCGACCUCAUGAAGUCGGAGUCGCUAGUAAUCGCAGAUCAGCAACGCUGCGGUGAAUACGUUCCCGGGGCU
RNAcentral lists this ribosomal RNA (1346 nucleotides) under uncultured bacterium. RNAcentral's name for it is "partial 16S ribosomal RNA". It matches the Rfam family "Bacterial small subunit ribosomal RNA", at positions 28 to 1381 of the family's 1533-position model. The record is from RNAcentral.